RNAcentral lists this ribosomal RNA (613 nucleotides) under uncultured bacterium. RNAcentral's name for it is "bacterial SSU rRNA". It matches the Rfam family "Bacterial small subunit ribosomal RNA", at positions 61 to 663 of the family's 1533-position model. The record is from RNAcentral.
GUCGAGCGGUAACACAAGGGAGCUUGCUCCUGAGGUGACGAGCGGCGGACGGGUGAGUAAUGCCUAGGGAUCUGCCCAGUCGAGGGGGAUAACAGUUGGAAACGACUGCUAAUACCGCAUACGCCCUACGGGGGAAAGGAGGGGACCUUCGGGCCUUUCGCGAUUGGAUGAACCUAGGUGGGAUUAGCUAGUUGGUGAGGUAAUGGCUCACCAAGGCGACGAUCCCUAGCUGUUCUGAGAGGAUGAUCAGCCACACUGGGACUGAGACACGGCCCAGACUCCUACGGGAGGCAGCAGUGGGGAAUAUUGCACAAUGGGCGAAAGCCUGAUGCAGCCAUGCCGCGUGUGUGAAGAAGGCCUUAGGGUUGUAAAGCACUUUCAGUAGGGAGGAAAGGUAAUUGUUUAAUAAACAAUUGCUGUGACGUUACCUACAGAAGAAGGACCGGCUAACUUCGUGCCAGCAGCCGCGGUAAUACGAGGGGUCCAAGCGUUAAUCGGAAUUACUGGGCGUAAAGCGUACGCAGGCGGUUCAUUAAGCUAGAUGUGAAAUCCCCGGGCUCAACCUGGGAAUUGCAUUUAGAACUGGUGAACUAGAGUCUUGUAGAGGGGGGUA